RNAcentral lists this long non-coding RNA (825 nucleotides) under Anser brachyrhynchus (Pink-footed goose). Its description in RNAcentral is "lncRNA (ENSABRG00000022917.1)". The record is from RNAcentral. Lineage: Eukaryota; Metazoa; Chordata; Aves; Anseriformes; Anatidae.
ACACAGUUUACUUCUGGGCUGAUGCUGCAUCCCUUUAGCAAAAGGAAGAACAGGCUUAUGGGCAGAUUGCACAAUGCUCAUGAGGUCAAAAGUAUACGAGCUGUGGGGGUAUCAGCACUGAGCUGUAGGGUAGGGAGAGGAAUGUGCUGAGAGGCUGCACACUGCUCUGGGAAAGGGGGCAGGGAUGGCCUAAGGGCCCUGCAGAAGCCAGCGAGCUGAUCCACAAAAAGGCGCCUGAAGAUCAGCUGUUUUUUUCUGCACCGAAAAGGAGUUGUGUCCGAUUGGCAGCCCAGCAGCAAAACUUCUUGUGACUCAUUUAAGGAUCACAUAAACAGAAGAAUCCCUUUGCCUCAGAGUAAAAGUACCUCAGAGCCCCAUCUGGAGAACAUCGCCUGUCCCUGUCCCUGCAGGACCAUCCUGAAGUUCAACCCCAUGAGAUGCUUUAUGGCAGACACCUCUCUGACCUCCAGAGGGUACCCAGCACCAGCCUGGAUAGGAGUUUUUGGGAGAGAGGAGAGAUGGCAUUAGGGUUUGGAGACAGAGCAGAGGCUUGUGCCAACAGCUCACACUGCAGCAAUAAUGAGAGCCAUUUAACGAAGGUUGAGUCAACAAAAACAUGCUUCCCUCUCAACAAAUAAAUGCUUUUAUUCCUCCUUCUUGUUUUUCGCGCUAGGAGGUUUGUUCUAAGUGAAAUUGCCGGAUCAACAUUGCAAGAGAUGAGAACAUUUGAUUUAGCUCUGAAAUAGGUACAGGCGGUGUCCUGGUGGUACAGGCUGCUGUGUUGGUCCCUGUUCCUGUCCCUCAAGCUGGGCAAGCAAACCUGCC